AACCUUUACACUGCACGACAGUGCGAUAGGGGGACUCCGAGUGCGAGGGCAUAUAGUCCUCGCUUUUGUACACCGUAAGGUGGUGUACGAAUAAGAACUGGGCAAGACCGGUGCCAGCCGCCGCGGUAAUACCGGCAGUUCGAGUGAUGGCCGAUUUUAUUGGGCCUAAAGCGUUCGUAGCUGGCCGAUCAAGUCUGUCGGGAAAUCUGCUCGCCUAACGAGCAGGCGUCCGGCGGAAACUGAUCGGCUUGGGACCGGAAGACUCGAGGGGUACGUCCGGGGUAGGAGUGAAAUCCUGUAAUCCUGGACGGACCACCGAUGGCGAAAGCACCUCGAGAGCACGGAUCCGACAGUGAGGAACGAAAGCUGGGGUCUCGAACCGGAUUAGAUACCCGGGUAGUCCCAGCUGUCAACGAUGCCCGCUAGGUAUGGCGCAGGCUACGAGCCUGUGCUAUGCCGUAGCGAAGGCGCUAAGCGGGCCGCCUGGGAAGUACGUUCGCAAGAAUGAAACUUAA
Molecule: ribosomal RNA, 515 nt
Filed under: uncultured archaeon
Lineage: Archaea
Description: bacterial SSU rRNA
Rfam family: Archaeal small subunit ribosomal RNA
Source: RNAcentral